CGGGACACGUGGUAUCCUGUCUGAAUAUGGGGGGACCAUCCUCCAAGGCUAAAUACUCCUGACUGACCGAUAGUGAACCAGUACCGUGAGGGAAAGGCGAAAAGAACCCCGGCGAGGGGAGUGAAAAAGAACCUGAAACCGUGUACGUACAAGCAGUGGGAGCCUCUUAAUGGGGUGACUGCGUACCUUUUGUAUAAUGGGUCAGCGACUUAUAUUCUGUAGCAAGGUUAACCGAAUAGGGGAGCCGAAGGGAAACCGAGUCUUAACUGGGCGUUAAGUUGCAGGGUAUAGACCCGAAACCCGGUGAUCUAGCCAUGGGCAGGUUGAAGGUUGGGUAACACUAACUGGAGGACCGAACCGACUAAUGUUGAAAAAUUAGCGGAUGACUUGUGGCUGGGGGUGAAAGGCCAAUCAAACCGGGAGAUAGCUGGUUCUCCCCGAAAGCUAUUUAGGUAGCGCCUCGUGAAUUCAUCUCCGGGGGUAGAGCACUGUUUCGGCAAGGGGGUCAUCCCGACUUACCAACCCGAUGCAAACUGCGAAUACCGGAGAAUGUUAUCACGGGAGACACACGGCGGGUGCUAACGUCCGUCGUGAAGAGGGAAACAACCCAGACCGCCAGCUAAGGUCCCAAAGUCAUGGUUAAGUGGGAAACGAUGUGGGAAGGCCCAGACAGCCAGGAUGUUGGCUUAGAAGCAGCCAUCAUUUAAAGAAAGCGUAAUAGCUCACUGGUCGAGUCGGCCUGCGCGGAAGAUGUAACGGGGCUAAACCAUGCACCGAAGCUGCGGCAGCGACACUAUGUGUUGUUGGGUAGGGGAGCGUUCUGUAAGCCUGUGAAGGUGGCCUGUGAGGGUUGCUGGAGGUAUCAGAAGUGCGAAUGCUGACAUAAGUAACGAUAAAGCGGGUGAAAAGCCCGCUCGCCGGAAGACCAAGGGUUCCUGUCCAACGUUAAUCGGGGCAGGGUGAGUCGACCCCUAAGGCGAGGCCGAAAGGCGUAGUCGAUGGGAAACAGGUUAAUAUUCCUGUACUUGGUGUUACUGCGAAGGGGGGACGGAGAAGGCUAUGUUGGCCGGGCGACGGUUGUCCCGGUUUAAGCGUGUAGGCUGGUUUUCCAGGCAAAUCCGGAAAACCAAGGCUGAGGCGUGAUGACGAGGCACUACGGUGCUGAAGCGACAAAUGCCCUGCUUCCAGGAAAAGCCUCUAAGCAUCAGGUAACAUCAAAUCGUACCCCAAACCGACACAGGUGGUCAGGUAGAGAAUACCAAGGCGCUUGAGAGAACUCGGGUGAAGGAACUAGGCAAAAUGGUGCCGUAACUUCGGGAGAAGGCACGCUGAUAUGUAGGUGAAGCGACUUGCUCGUGGAGCUGAAAUCAGUCGAAGAUACCAGCUGGCUGCAACUGUUUAUUAAAAACACAGCACUGUGCAAACACGAAAGUGGACGUAUACGGUGUGACGCCUGCCCGGUGCCGGAAG
This 1470-nucleotide ribosomal RNA is filed under the name Escherichia coli. RNAcentral describes it as "partial 23S ribosomal RNA". It matches the Rfam family "Bacterial large subunit ribosomal RNA", at positions 418 to 1875 of the family's 2925-position model. The record is from RNAcentral. Lineage: Bacteria; Pseudomonadati; Pseudomonadota; Gammaproteobacteria; Enterobacterales; Enterobacteriaceae.